AGCGGCGGACGGGUGAGUAACGCGUGGGUGACCUGCCCCAUACCGGGGGAUAACAGCUGGAAACGGCUGCUAAUACCGCAUAAGCGCACAGAGCUGCAUGGCUCGGUGUGAAAAACUCCGGUGGUAUAAGAUGGACCCGCGUUGGAUUAGCUAGUUGGCAGGGCAGCGGCCUACCAAGGCGACGAUCCAUAGCCGGCCUGAGAGGGUGAACGGCCACAUUGGGACUGAGACACGGCCCAGACUCCUACGGGAGGCAGCAGUGGGGAAUAUUGCACAAUGGGGGAAACCCUGAUGCAGCGACGCCGCGUGAAGGAAGAAGUAUCUCGGUAUGUAAACUUCUAUCAGCAGGGAAGAUAAUGACGGUACCUGACUAAGAAGCCCCGGCUAACUACGUGCCAGCAGCCGCGGUAAUACGUAGGGGGCAAGCGUUAUCCGGAUUUACUGGGUGUAAAGGGAGCGUAGACGGCGCAGCAAGUCUGAUGUGAAAGGCAGGGGCUUAACCCCUGGACUGCAUUGGAAACUGCUGUGCUUGAGUGCCGGAGGGGUAAGCGGAAUUCCUAGUGUAGCGGUGAAAUGCGUAGAUAUUAGGAGGAACACCAGUGGCGA
This 606-nucleotide ribosomal RNA is filed under the name uncultured Lachnospiraceae bacterium. RNAcentral describes it as "bacterial SSU rRNA". It matches the Rfam family "Bacterial small subunit ribosomal RNA", at positions 94 to 718 of the family's 1533-position model. Lineage: Bacteria; Bacillati; Bacillota; Clostridia; Lachnospirales; Lachnospiraceae. The record is from RNAcentral.